GGAUAUCUGGAAAAUCCCCGUGUCACUUUCGGUUUUGUUUACUUCGAUCUCGCUAAACGUACAGUGGUUUACGAAAUUUAAACAGCCAGAAUAUAAAACUCAUGCUGAACUUUUACAAUGUUCAGAUGCUUGAAUCUUCUGCUGUUUUGUCUCGUCUAUCACAGCGGAAACACAUCUAUAUCUGUGUCAGGAAAAAAGGGAGGAAACGUCACACUAACAUGUGAAUCUGAGGCCGAUGAGAUUGUUCACAUUGAGUUAUUCAGUGAGUCAGAAGAGAUAGAUGUGUGUCAGGAUGAAGAAUGUAGUGGACGAGUGUUUAAAGAAGGAAACUGUGACGUCGUCAUCAAGAAUCUGAGCUUCAAUGAUGCUGGGAAAUAUAUUUUGAGAAUCUAUUACAAUAAUGAUCAGUCAGAGCUGGAGCCACAAAUCAGGACGUACCAAGUUCAUAUUCAUGGUAUGAACUGUAUAAACUGAUAAAACCAUCAGUAUCUGCUUUUUUAAAUGAUUACAUUUGGUUCCCCGAUACUAAAUAUACAUUUAUGGCCUUGAUUGAUCGACAGCAUUAUAAUAAUGAUUAAUGUCUUUCUGUUUCUCCUCAGAUGAGAUUUCUGUGAAAACAGGCGAGGAGCUAAAGAUGCAUGUUCUGUUGUCUAAUGCUGAUAAAGUGGAGACAAGCUCUAGUGGAGAGUGGAAGGAGGUUCGGAGCAGAACUGAUGGGGUUCAGAGCGAUCGACUGAAUGAAAAUGAUGAAAAUCUGAUCUUUAAAUCCUUUGCAUCAAGUGAUGCAGGAGCAUACAGAGUUCUGGAUUCAGAAGGAGAAAUCUUGAUCACAGUGACAGUCACAGGUGAGAGAAACUCAGAUAUAUGUGUAACGAAACUGUAAGUCUCGUUCCAUAGGGGAAAUGAAAGUUACCCUGGAAGACUUGAGAAUGAAAGGAUCUUGGUCCCCACUCUGGCGCUUUGAGUCUCAGUGUGCACAAUGUGUGUAUGUUUUAUCUUACACUAUUGUAUAAUAUACUACAGGAAUAGGUAGUGUAGGCUUCAGGUCAGUAGGUUUCAAUACGGUGGCUUCCUGAAGUAUAAGCAUGUGAUGUAAAGUGACAACUCAAAUUCACAUUCCCAC
RNAcentral lists this long non-coding RNA (1123 nucleotides) under Sinocyclocheilus anshuiensis. RNAcentral describes it as "lncRNA (ENSSANG00000029307.1)". The record is from RNAcentral. Lineage: Eukaryota; Metazoa; Chordata; Actinopteri; Cypriniformes; Cyprinidae.